AGUGAACGCUGGCGGUAGGCCUAACACAUGCAAGUCGAACGGCAGCACAGUAAGAGCUUGCUCUUACGGGUGGCGAGUGGCGGACGGGUGAGGAAUACAUCGGAAUCUACUUUUUCGUGGGGGAUAACGUAGGGAAACUUACGCUAAUACCGCAUACGCCCUACGGGUGAAAGCAGGGGAUCUUCGGACCUUGCGCGAUUGAAUGAGCCGAUGUCGGAUUAGCUAGUUGGCGGGGUAAAGGCCCACCAAGGCGACGAUCCGUAGCUGGUCUGAGAGGAUGAUCAGCCACACUGGAACUGGGACACGGUCCAUACUCCUACGGGAGGCAGCAGUGGGGAAUAUUGGACAAUGGGCGCAAGCCUGAUCCAGCCAUACCGCGUGGGUGAAGAAGGCCUUCGGGUUGUAAAGCCCUUUUGUUGGGAAAGAAAAGCAGCAGGUUAAUACCCCGCUGUUCUGACGGUACCCAAAGAAUAAGCACCGGCUAACUUCGUG
RNAcentral lists this ribosomal RNA (492 nucleotides) under uncultured bacterium. Its description in RNAcentral is "partial 16S ribosomal RNA". It matches the Rfam family "Bacterial small subunit ribosomal RNA", at positions 29 to 507 of the family's 1533-position model. The record is from RNAcentral.